Molecule: non-coding RNA, 170 nt
Filed under: Heterosigma akashiwo
Lineage: Eukaryota; Raphidophyceae; Chattonellales; Chattonellaceae
Source: RNAcentral
AAAAAAAAAAAAAAAAAAAACGUUGUAGUGCAACCUUUCACCUCUCUCUAUCAUUUUUUUUUUUUUCUCAUCGUUGAUUGGCAUCUCCAGCUGAAAACAAAAGAAGAGUGUUUUAUAGACAACAGGGCUGUGGCAUGUGAGCUGCUGUCAUUUUCAGUCAUUCUUAAUAG